This 477-nucleotide long non-coding RNA is filed under the name Equus caballus (horse). RNAcentral describes it as "lncRNA (ENSECAG00000044428.1)". The record is from RNAcentral. Lineage: Eukaryota; Metazoa; Chordata; Mammalia; Perissodactyla; Equidae.
GUUCCUGUCCAUAUGUGGGGAGAAAUGGCAAAUGCCUCUCCGGGUGACAGCGUCCAGAAACAAGCAGCCUCUCACCCGGUGAGUGUGACAGAAACCUCACCCACAGCCAUGGCUGACAUCUGAGAGGUUUUCCGGGCAGCCUCCUUGAAGAGGUGAAGAUGGGCUCUGAAACAUUGGUAUGAAGGAGGUGAGAAGAGGGGAAAGACCAGUACUGGGGAAAGAGCUUUGAGAACUGAAGGCAGAAGCAGCUUGAAAACUGGAUGUAGCAAAGAUGGUUAUGAAGCCAGCUCAGACCGCGCUGUCCAGCUUGCCCAGAGCCCCUCUGGGCAGAAGCUCCCUUGGUGCCAGCAUCCACCCUGAGACAAGUUAUUAAAAAUGGGGCUGUCCUGGCCAACCUUUCACCGAAAGUACCAAGGGCCACUUCAGCCCAGAGAAAGGGCAGUUCCAGAGACCGGUGGAGUUCUGAAGCCGAGCGGC